Molecule: long non-coding RNA, 907 nt
Filed under: Chinchilla lanigera (long-tailed chinchilla)
Lineage: Eukaryota; Metazoa; Chordata; Mammalia; Rodentia; Chinchillidae
Description: lncRNA (ENSCLAG00000023388.1)
Source: RNAcentral
CAGAUGUACAAAAUAAAACAUCUGGUUUGAAUUAAAAGUUUUAAUUGGAUAUUUGCUACAUGAUGACAAACAUCAAUAUGUCACGAAUAUCUGGACAUCUGACAAUAGAAAAAGACGCUGAAUUUUUUCUAGCUCAGAAUACUUCCCGUCACUUAGAACACAUUAUGCCACUCGUGGAGCGGUUCCGGAAGUCUUUCCUGAGAGUCUUUGUGAAGUGUGAUGGAAGUGUGAGGAGUGCCAUCCAAGGGAAAAGCAGGCUUGCAAGGAAAGCUUAAGGAGUCCUCGUCCACAUUAUCCACCGUAUCUGGCCCUCUGUGACUUCUUGCUCUUCCCCAAAAUCAAAGUGACCGUGGAAAGUAAAGGUUUUAAAUCAGUUCAGGAUACCAAAGCAACCACAACAGUAUAACUGAAGAAACUUACGAAGAAAAAUUUCCAGAACUGCUUCAGAAAGUGGCAAGCAUGGUGGGAUAAAUGUCUUUGAAGCAAGAGGCAGAGGAGUAUGUUUUUACUGUAAUAAUUUUUUCAAAAGUAAAUAUUCCCUCUGAGAGGGAGGGGAAUAUAAUUUUUACUGCAGUAAAUCUAUUUUACUUAGGGGCACACUGUAUUCUUUUUUAUCAUAGUUUGUAUAUAGGUGACAGGUAAAAAAUCCAAAGGCAAAAUGGGAAAGCGUUCCUGUCAUGGAAGGCAUUAGAAGUAGACCUCCAAAAUAGGUAGGAAAACAGCAGAAUGAAAGGGAAGACACGUCUUCCCAAACCCAGGAAACAGAGCUCAAAGGCAAAGAGGUAAGCAGGAAAGUUAAGAAUAUUAUUAGCACAUUUACAUCUAUUUGUAGUACAUACAACUGCAAUACGUGCACCUGAAAUCACAGAAUUUAAUGCUAAUGCUUUGCCUUAAGAAUAAAUGCCAA